GGGGACACGGACACGGGACACCCGGUGGGACUCGCCCCGCGGGGAACGGCGCCGAGUUGGCGCUCAGAAACGCGAAGGCAGCUCUGAUUUAGGAUUUGGGAGUCUCUGAAGAGUCCCCAGCUGGGGCCUGCACUCCCGAGAGAUGCUGCCAGGAAGAUCGCACCGAGAAGCAGACAGGCUACCAACCCAAAUCUGCAAAAAGCUUUCCUACAAAGCUGUAGAAAUCAGACAAGAUGGGUGGUGUCAGGAGUCGGGUCAGGCACGGUGGCACUCGCUGAGACACCUCUGAUGGCUCCAGGAUGAGCCUGGCACUGCGAGACCUCUCUUCGCUUCCUGGUUUUGCCACAAAAUUUCAGGGUGAGCUGGGGCUGCUCGCUGGGCCUCUGGCUCUUCAGCCACAGAAAGGGACACACGGGAGCUUCAGUAACACCUGAGGUCCUUGCACAAACUGAGCGACACGGACGCAUCGGUCUGCUCUGGCUAGUUUUGGACUAUAAUGUAAUUUCACUCAUUGCCUGGCCAGAACUCAGGCAUUUGCCUGUGCAGUCACAUUUAAAUCUUUCCUUUUAUUCCUCACUGCAACACUUGAGCAUUAGUUAAAAGAUUUGAGCGACGCCACAUAAUCAUUACAGUGCAGCACUAAGGGUAAAUUCAUAAAAUGUAAUUGGGAAGAGAGAUCCUUGUGAGAAGUAAGUAACCCUGAGUGUCAAAUCAUUUUCUUCCAAAAGUGGUUGAGGCUAUCUAAGGAAAAAUGAAACAAAAAACUCCAGAACUCCCCAAAGCUUUGUUAACUAAACAGUUGUCCAUUAAAGAGACCAAAUAUUUCACAGCAUUAGUCUUUGGAUUAAUGUUAAAUUGAUAUGCACUAACGCAACAGGGCAAUAGUUACCAUGGUGAAUAAUUCUAUAUUUAUUUUCAAGCAAGCCUUAUUUCUAACAAUUCCAGACAUGGUUUCCACUUUCUGGUGACUAACCUCUUUUAAGUUUAUUUUUUUUAACUAUUUGGUACCAGAAACUCAAGUUUUCUCCCCGACAAUUAGAACAAGGUCGCUGCCACGACAGAGAACAAUGCUGGGCAGGGACGCAGAUGCUCGCCAGUUUUAGCUGAGGGCUUGUUUGCCUUUGAAAGUCAGAACAGCUACAUCUCGGGUACGAUUUAAAGCGUAGGAGAUACUGUGAAUUAAGUCUUUGGUAGACAAGCCCUCAUCCUUGUUUGGAACGGCAGGAGCAUCUUCCUUCCAAGGCUUCAUCCCAUUUGCUAAAGUGUCAAUAACCUACCUCAAACAAUAUUCCACCUAAAAGGCUCCGAAAUACCCUCCCUCCCCGGCACUGGGAGCCCCUCCUCAGCCCACCCACUCC
Molecule: long non-coding RNA, 1358 nt
Organism: Harpia harpyja (harpy eagle)
Lineage: Eukaryota; Metazoa; Chordata; Aves; Accipitriformes; Accipitridae
Exons: 3
Source: RefSeq, a predicted model, not a curated record